AUCGAGUUUAUCAGAGACUGUCGGUGGCCUUCAGUAGUUCAACUGUCAGAAGUGAAGUUCUUGGUUGAGUGGAGGUCUUACUGGUGCGAAAGGGGUAUGGCCAACGAUGUGUUCUUUCCUCAGGAAUGAAAGUUAUGGGAUCGCAGUCCGAUCAGAGUCCGUCAUAGUCUGAUGCAUACUAUAUGCCGAGUAGGCAUCGGACGCUGUUAUUUCAUGACCCGUUCCGGCGCCUCGCGAGAAAUCAAAGCGCUGCGGGCUCCAGUGUGGAGUAUGGUCGCAGGGGCUGAAACUUAAAGAAAAUGACGGAAGGGUGUCAACAGGGGGGGAAGCCUGCGGCUUAAUCUGACUCAACACGGGGAAACUCACCAGGUCCAGACACAAUAAGGAUUGACAGAUUGAGAGCUCUUUCUUGAUUUUGUGGGUGGUGGUGCAUGGCCGUUCUUAGUUGGUGGGGUGACUUGUCGGCUUAAUUGCGAUAACGAACGAGAUCUUAACCUGCUAAAUAGCCUGCCUUGCUCCGUCAGUGCGCUGGCUUCUUAGAGGGACUUUCGGCUCAAGCCGAAGCAAGUUUGAGGCAAUAACAGGUCUGUGAUGCCCUUAGAUGUUCUGGGCGCCACGCGCGCUACACUGACGGGGUCAGCGAGUUCCUUGGCCGAAAGGCCCGGGUAAUCUUGUUAGCACCCGUCGUGCUGGGGAUAGAGCAUUGCAAUUAUUGCUCUUCAACGAGGAAUCCCUAGUAAGCGCAAGUCAUCAGCUUGCGUUGAUUACGUCCCUGCCCUUUGCAAUCACCGCCCGUC
Molecule: ribosomal RNA, 797 nt
Filed under: uncultured fungus
Lineage: Eukaryota; Fungi
Description: bacterial SSU rRNA
Rfam family: Eukaryotic small subunit ribosomal RNA
Source: RNAcentral